UCAACUGAAAAGAGACAAAACAGAUUUCACGUCCGUAGUGUUGAAAUGAAGUUUUCCACUUACACAGAAACUAGGGAUUCCAUUCAUUGGAGGAGAGCAAAAGGAGGCUUGAGGAAGUGACAGAACUUCCUAGAAAUGAGUGUGUGGAUGACCUCUGUUACCGGGAAGGUGUGAACCUCCGUUGACAAUGUGGGAGAACCGAGAGAGGAUGUGGUAUCGGGAAAUAGGCCUAUGGAGUUCAUCUUGGGGGCUGGGGAAUAAAGAGAAGACUGAAGAAAAUGACCAACUGGAACACUUGGAAACCAGGGAAUGUAGUUAUUCUAGAAGCCCCAGGGGUACAGGUCUGUGAAUCGUCAG
This is a long non-coding RNA of Lutra lutra (Eurasian river otter), 357 nucleotides long. RefSeq lists it as uncharacterized. The transcript has 3 exons. The record is from RefSeq and is a predicted model, not a curated record. Lineage: Eukaryota; Metazoa; Chordata; Mammalia; Carnivora; Mustelidae.